This 65-nucleotide transfer RNA is filed under the name Candidatus Campbellbacteria bacterium RIFCSPHIGHO2_12_FULL_35_10. RNAcentral describes it as "tRNA-Thr". It matches the Rfam family "tRNA", at positions 1 to 63 of the family's 71-position model. Rfam says of the family: Transfer RNA (tRNA) molecules are approximately 80 nucleotides in length. Lineage: Bacteria; Candidatus Campbelliibacteriota. The record is from RNAcentral.
GCCACCUUAGCUCAGUCGGUAGAGCAAUAGUUUUGUAAACUAUAGGUCGUCAGUUCGAUUCUGAC